UGGCGGCGCGCUUAAACAUGCAAGUCGAGCGAGAAAGGGGCAACCUGAGUACAGCGGCGUACGGGUGAGUAACACGUGGGUAAUCUACCUCUUAGUGGGGAAUAACCCUGGGAAACCGGGGCUAAUACCGCAUAAGCCUGAGAAGGGAAAGCAGCAAUGCGCUGAGAGAGGAGCCCGCGGCCGAUUAGCAAGUUGGUGAGGUAACGGCUCACCAAGGCGAUGAUCGGUAGCCGGCCUGAGAGGGCACACGGCCACACUGGCACUGAAACACGGGCCAGACCCCUACGGGAGGCAGCAGUGGGGAAUCUUGCACAAUGGAGGCAACUCUGAUGCAGCGACGCCGCGUGAGCGAUGAAGCCCUUCGGGGUGUAAAGCUCUUUCGGCAGGGACGAUAAUGACGGUACCUGAAGAAGAAGCUGCGGCUAACUACGUGCCAGCAGCCGCGGUAAUACGUANGCAGCGAGCGUUGUUCGGAAUUACUGGGCGUAAAGAGUGUGUANGCGGUGCUCUAAAGUUCGGUGUGAAAUCUCCUGGCUUAACUGG
RNAcentral lists this ribosomal RNA (543 nucleotides) under uncultured bacterium. RNAcentral describes it as "bacterial SSU rRNA". It matches the Rfam family "Bacterial small subunit ribosomal RNA", at positions 37 to 616 of the family's 1533-position model. The record is from RNAcentral.